AGAAUCAACGCUGGCGGCGUGCCUAACACAUGCAAGUCGAACGAGAAAGGGUAGCAAUACCUGAGUAAAGUGGCGCACGGGUGAGUAACACGUGACUAACCUACCCUGGAGUGGGGGAUAACUGAGGGAAACCUUAGCUAAUACCGCAUAAUACCUACGGGUCAAAGGAGCAAUUCGCUUCAGGAGGGGGUCGCGGCCGAUUAGUUAGUUGGCGGGGUAAUGGCCCACCAAGACGAUGAUCGGUAUCCGGCCUGAGAGGGCGCACGGACACACUGGAACUGAAACACGGUCCAGACUCCUACGGGAGGCAGCAGUGGGGAAUUUUGCGCAAUGGGGGAAACCCUGACGCAGCAACGCCGCGUGGAGGAUGAAGUCCUUGGGACGUAAACUCCUUUCGAUCGGGACGAUUAUGACGGUACCGGAAGAAGAAGCCCCGGCUAACUUCGUGCCAGCAGCCGC
This 459-nucleotide ribosomal RNA is filed under the name uncultured bacterium. RNAcentral's name for it is "SSU rRNA". It matches the Rfam family "Bacterial small subunit ribosomal RNA", at positions 26 to 518 of the family's 1533-position model. The record is from RNAcentral.